GAUGAACGCUGGCGGCGUGCCUAAUACAUGCAAGUCGAGCGAACGGACGAGAAGCUUGCUUCUCUGAUGUUAGCGGCGGACGGGUGAGUAACACGUGGAUAACCUACCUAUAAGACUGGGAUAACUUCGGGAAACCGGAGCUAAUACCGGAUAAUAUUUUGAACCGCAUGGUUCAAAAGUAAAAGACGGUCUUGCUGUCACUUAUAGAUGGAUCCGCGCUGCAUUAGCUAGUUGGUAAGGUAACGGCUUACCAAGGCAACGAUGCAUAGCCGACCUGAGAGGGUGAUCGGCCACACUGGAACUGAGACACGGUCCAGACUCCUACGGGAGGCAGCAGUAGGGAAUCUUCCGCAAUGGGCGAAAGCCUGACGGAGCAACGCCGCGUGAGUGAUGAAGGUCUUCGGAUCGUAAAACUCUGUUAUUAGGGAAGAACAUAUGUGUAAGUAACUGUGCACAUCUUGACGGUACCUAAUCAGAAAGCCGCGGCUAACUACGU
RNAcentral lists this ribosomal RNA (496 nucleotides) under uncultured bacterium. Its description in RNAcentral is "partial 16S ribosomal RNA". It matches the Rfam family "Bacterial small subunit ribosomal RNA", at positions 28 to 506 of the family's 1533-position model. The record is from RNAcentral.